This is an RNA transcript of Diachasma alloeum, 1421 nucleotides long. It is a transcript of the gene named transcription initiation factor TFIID subunit 8, with no coding region annotated. The transcript is spliced from 7 exons. NCBI's taxonomy places the organism in Eukaryota, Metazoa, Arthropoda, Insecta, Hymenoptera, Braconidae. The record is from RefSeq and is a predicted model, not a curated record.
UCCUGAUGAUGUCGAUAGAAAUUUUCGGGAGAUUUCAACAAAAAGCUGAAGAGAAUCCUGAAUGGAGCGGCGUCCACCCAGAAGCCGUAACAAUAAAAAAUAGCAGUAAUUCCCUGAACCGCAGUGACAAACCGAGAGAAGAAUGAUAAACAUGGAGCCCCAAUAUGUCAAUCCCCGACGAAAAAUUCUCAAUCACGCUGUUUGUAGUAUUCUAGUGGAGUGUGGAUAUGAAAAUUGUGACAGACAGGUGUUGGAAACGCUCACAGAGAUGACACAGUCCUUCAUCGUCGAAGUGGGUGAAUCCGCGAGAAGCUACACUGAACUAGCCGGGCGGACUGAACCUCUGAUUGCCGAUGUGAUUGUUGCAUUGAUAAACAUGGGAGUCAGGCUGGAGGGCCUCGAGAGCUACGGGAAGAGGCCCCACAGGACUGUAUUGCCUACCCUCCAGCAGCAAACACAGUCGAAACAGCUGAAUAUUCUUCAGGCUGGUGUCAAGCAGUCCCAUCCCUCUCAUAUUCCUAAUUAUCUGCCGGCCUUCCCUGAUCCCCAUGCAUACAUCAGAACUCCAACACACAAACAACCGGUUACUGAGUACGAGGCCAUCAGGGAGAAGGCUGCCUCCCAAAAGAGAGAUAUCGAAAGGGCUUUAACCAGAUUUAUCGCAAAAACUGGAGACACUCACAGUUUAUUUUUCACCGACGAUAACAGCGCUUUCCCCUUAAUAGCAUGCAAACCACAAUUUCCAAGCUACCUCUCGGCCCUCCUCCCUCAGGACCAAAUAUUCGAGCCUGAGCCUGAAUUUAAUUUCGAGCCGAGUCCAGUUAAAAAAAGGAAAGAAGUUAAACCAGCUGAGGAUAAGAAGGAAGAAGCGACGAUCGCAGAGAUCGUAGAGCAGAAUGAAGAGGUCUCGACUCAACAGGAUGCCAUAGAUAACCCUUACCUCAGACCUGGGAAGGUGCCGGAUGGAAAAGCCUCAGGGCUAAGUUUACCGGAUUUUAGACAGAAUGCAAAGAAAGAUAUCUUAGGAGAUUGACUAUUAAUCACAAUAGAACAUUUUUACAUAAUUAUUUUUUAUGAAGUGAGACAGUGAUCUUAUCGAAGACCAAGACUCUAUUCCCUCGGACCUCAGUCUGUUCAGCAUUGGACGGUAGAUGUCUGGGGUGAAGGGGAGAAUGACACCUCUCUGUUGAAUUUCAUCUGGAACGAACGAUAAACGACAAUUUUCAGAAAACAAAUCGACGAAAACUCCAUUGGUAAAUAACUCAAUAAAAACUAUACACUUUAGCCACGCAAUUUUCCCAUAAAAUUCUUGGGCAUGAAUUCUUCGCUUUUUCCCCCUAGAUCUUGUGAUGAGAAAUAAAAAGAAUAGAGGGGAAAAAAUUAUGCCCAAGAAUUUCUGCAGAUAAAAUUUGAAAGAAAUA